UCGAAUCCCACAACSAGCAGACCGCGCACAYGUAUAUGCYGCACGGGGCACUCGACGGGAAGUUGCRCAUGCGCCUCCCGUUGUUGCCCCGCACCCSACCGACCCUCGCGCAAGUGAGUGGARCCGGYGGGRCCAACAACAAACCCACGGCGUAGAAARGCGCCAAGGAUCACAAACGUGGAGUACUGCCCCCGUCAUGCACCCGUUYGUGGUGUGCUAUKCGGGGGAUGUUCUCCCAAUAUUGAAUACGAAAAAAAU
Molecule: unclassified non-coding RNA, 258 nt
Filed under: Pinguicula heterophylla
Lineage: Eukaryota; Viridiplantae; Streptophyta; Magnoliopsida; Lamiales; Lentibulariaceae
Description: ITS1
Source: RNAcentral